Molecule: long non-coding RNA, 1109 nt
Organism: Physcomitrium patens
Lineage: Eukaryota; Viridiplantae; Streptophyta; Bryopsida; Funariales; Funariaceae
Source: RefSeq, a predicted model, not a curated record
CCUCAGUUUUUCUCUCUUCUUCUUUUUUCUCUGUGUUCGUGGUAGUACUUGUGAAGUACGUUGAAGCCAGGCUCGGUGAGCUGGGCCAUUGUAGCAUCAUUAGUAGAAGCUGAGACUUUUCCUUCCGCCUGUGUCACGCUUAACGCACUGUAGAAAGUGCGACAGUUUUGUUUUUUUUCCAGUUAGGCUCUUGUCUGUGUUCUGUUGGCGACUCGGCAUGCCAAGCGGGGCAGCUGGAGGCGUUCUGUGCUUCCGUUACAACGGUGCGGCGAUAGAAGCGGAUGUAGUGGAUUGCGAUAUUACAAGGAGUGCAGGAGUUCUGGUCGAUAGGCGGCAAUGCAGCUAAAUUUGAAACCAAGGAUCACUGCGUGGAAGUCGCAGGGCUCUCUACUACAAGCCGUCUUCGCGUUUUUCUAGUCGAUUUACUGCACCCUAAUUGGAAGGGCCGACAAUCUGAUCAUAAUCGUUGUGAACGAGUUUUGAUCUCCUUCUUCCUAUUGGCAGUGCUAUUGCAGAGGAAUAAGCUGUCAGAAGUUGACAUUGUGUAGUAUUGGGAGCCGCUAAUGUGGCUUUUCAUUUGGGUGUCUAGGUUGCUGAUCUCGGUUGGAAACUAGAGCGGUGCGGUAACGUUGUCUUGCAAACAAGGCAUCGUUCUUUCUUCUUGUUGGACUGGUGCAGUCAGCGGCAGUGGCAUUGAAGAUUCUGUUUUCUUGUUCGUUGAGGUACUACGGUGUAGCCCUGUUUUUCUCAGUGUUGUGGCCAUGCGGUUGGAGCAAUUUUGGAGCGAUUUAUUGCAGUGGGCUGCUGUGCGUCGGACCACAGCGGAGACUCAACUACGGCGGCUGGAGCUCGUGUCGUUGACAAUGUAGUGUGUAUUUGAAAGAGCUCCGCACUCGCUAUUUGUGUAUACAUUCCUAGCAUGAAUUGUAUGUGUGGCGGUGUGGGUUGAUACUGCAUCCAGCCGUGUUGUUCUUUUCCUUCAAUUGGAACGGGCAUGAAACUAAGCGAAAGAUUGUGAAUUUGGCAUCAACGGAGUGAUGCUGCGGCGGUCAAGUACUCCCUUGUGUUAAUUUUUUUUCUUCCAAAGUUGUAGGCGGCAUUUUCUCGAU